UACGAAGGGUGCAAGCGUUACUCGGAAUUACUGGGCGUAAAGCGUGCGUAGGUGGUUUGUUAAGUCUGUUGUGAAAGCCCCGGGCUCAACCUGGGAAUGGCAAUGGAUACUGGCAAGCUAGAGUGCGGUAGAGGGUAGUGGAAUUCCCGGUGUAGCGGUGGAAUGCGUAGAGAUCCGGAAGAACACCAGUGGCGAAGGCGGCUCACUGGCCCGGAACUGACGCUGAGGCACGAAAGCGUGGGGAGCAAACAGG
Molecule: ribosomal RNA, 253 nt
Filed under: uncultured bacterium
Lineage: Bacteria
Description: partial 16S ribosomal RNA
Rfam family: Bacterial small subunit ribosomal RNA
Source: RNAcentral